CCAAUUGAAAUCCCAAGUACCAACCUUGGGGACUUUAUUGCCAACCAGCAAUGGAAUCUAGCAGCUCAAGUAGAGCUGCUGCUAGGCAUCAGGGAGAACAGUAUACUAGCAGCAAUCCCAACUGUUUUCUGGAACCUAAAAUCUAAAAGUAUACUCAGCGUUCUUUUUCUUCAACUCUGGCGUCUCCUGGUACAGCGAUAUCAAUAAACUGUACGCUUCAGUUUUCGACAACUGUGAUAUCUGGUGUGUUAUGUUCUAAAUGAUGAUCCAUCUGUAUUUGAAAGUUCUACAAGAUCUUCACCUUCUCAUUUUUGACAACUUUUUCCACUUUGUGUUCCCAUGACUUUUCAGAUACAGGUGAACUUCUGAGCAACUGAAACAAGAUUAGCAUAGCAAUGGCAAACAGUACUACAACAAUAAUCUUCCUCCAUAGUAUUCAAUCAUUUGGAAUUCAUAUUGUUUGGUCAACCUACAAGAGCACACCAAGUAAUGAAUCCAGUCUUGGGCUGGGACAACAAAAUGAAGGAAGCUUGUGUUGACUGACCUAAAAUAGCGUCGAGUGAUGAGAGUGACAGCGGCGAGAUUUCAAAUUCUUUAAAACGAAAGAGAGGAGUGUGCAAAUAUACCAAAGACUGGGAAGCUACUUUUGCAUGGAUUACCAACAGCGAAACCGACAGAACAAAUACGAUGGCCUACUGUAAAUUGUUUAUAAUUAACCCAAGGCCAAAUGAAGCUGGAAAGGAAAACAGAGAAAGACUUUAGGGACUCAUAUACUUCUGUUUUCAAAUAAAUAAAUAAAUACACACAGGCACACAGGCACGCACAAGGACCUGAACAAAAUCAAAAUGAUUUGAUUUAUAAUUGCAGAUGGACGAAAUUAUGGAGAAAUGAGUGAAGAACAAAGAGGAAGCUUAUUCAGAUAUAGAGAAUGAAGAAAGCCUACUGAAACAUUUUGCAAGCCAUGAUAAAUGCUAUAUCAAUUUAAUCCAGAGAAAACAAUAAAUUGCUUUUCUCCUGACCUUAGAAUUCAACACAGAGAAAUUAAUCUGGAAAUGAAGGAAAUAUAUGGAGAGACUAUCUUGAAUGUGUUUGAAAAGAGUAAAUUUAACUAGUUGAACAGACCAAAUCUU
Molecule: long non-coding RNA, 1130 nt
Organism: Pantherophis guttatus
Lineage: Eukaryota; Metazoa; Chordata; Lepidosauria; Squamata; Colubridae
Source: RefSeq, a predicted model, not a curated record